AUACGUAGGGGGCGAGCGUUGUCCGGAAUGAUUGGGCGUAAAGGGCGCGUAGGCGGCCCGGUAAGUCUGGAGUGAAAGUCCUGUUUUUAAGAUGGGAAUUGCUUUGGAUACUGUCGGGCUUGAGUGCAGGAGAGGUAAGUGGAAUUCCCAGUGUAGCGGUGAACUGCGUAGAGAUUGGGAGGAACACCAGUGGCGAAGGCGACUUACUGGACUGUAACUGACGCUGAGGCGCGAAAGUGUGGGGAGCAAACAGGAUUAGAUACCCUGGUAGUCCACACUGUAAACGAUGAAUGCUAGGUGUAGGGGGUAUCGACCCCUUCUGUGCCGCAGUCAACACAAUAAGCAUUCCGCCUGGGGAGUACGGCCGCAAGGUUGAAACUCAAAGGAAUUGACGGGG
This 397-nucleotide ribosomal RNA is filed under the name uncultured bacterium. RNAcentral's name for it is "partial 16S ribosomal RNA". It matches the Rfam family "Bacterial small subunit ribosomal RNA", at positions 523 to 918 of the family's 1533-position model. The record is from RNAcentral.